GCUUACGGCCACACCGCCUGGUUCACGCCCGAUCUUGUUUGAUCUCGGAAGCUAAGAUAGGUUGGGCCUGGUUAGUACUUGGAUGGGGAGACCGCCUGGGAAUACCAGGUGCUGUAAAGC
This 120-nucleotide ribosomal RNA is filed under the name Scophthalmus maximus (turbot). Lineage: Eukaryota; Metazoa; Chordata; Actinopteri; Pleuronectiformes; Scophthalmidae. The record is from RNAcentral.